CCUGGGUUUCGCCCAGGCCCCGGGGCGAUGGGGCCGAGGAGCGGAGAGGUGCCUAGGCCGCGCUCUGGGUCACUCGUUCGCCCAUUCAUUCAUUCCUUGAGCUGACUCAGGAAUUGAGAUGGGUUGUCUGCGGAUCUUAGAAUGAGUCUGGAGAUAGCGAAGAGAUUGCCAAGCAGAACUGCCAUAAACCUUGACUAGGAAGAAGCAGCUUUCCUUGUGGAAUCGGGCCUUUCUUCUGACCACUUCAGGGAUUAAGAGAACAAGCAGACGGUUGUUAUCAGAGGAAUGGGAGGCAGCACCGAGUGAAAUAUUAAAUGCAGA
This is a long non-coding RNA of Hipposideros armiger (great roundleaf bat), 321 nucleotides long. RefSeq lists it as uncharacterized. NCBI's taxonomy places the organism in Eukaryota, Metazoa, Chordata, Mammalia, Chiroptera, Hipposideridae. The transcript is spliced from 3 exons. The record is from RefSeq and is a predicted model, not a curated record.